RNAcentral lists this ribosomal RNA (549 nucleotides) under Tenodera aridifolia. Its description in RNAcentral is "partial 16S ribosomal RNA". It matches the Rfam family "Bacterial large subunit ribosomal RNA", at positions 1800 to 2618 of the family's 2925-position model. The record is from RNAcentral. Lineage: Eukaryota; Metazoa; Arthropoda; Insecta; Mantodea; Mantidae.
CUGUUUAUCAAAAACAUGGUUUCUUGUAAUUAUUUAGGAGAUCUGACCUGCCCACUGAAAAUAUUUUGAAGGGCCGCAGUAUUUUGACUGUGCAAAGGUAGCAUAAUCAUUAGUCUUUUAAUUGAAGGCUGGUAUGAAUGGUUGGAUGAGGUAAAUUCUGUUUUAUGUUAAUUGAUGUUGAAUUUAGAUUUUAAGUAAAAAUACUUAAAUGUUAUUAAGGGACGAGAAGACCCUAUAGAGUUUAAUAAAUGUAAUAAUUAAUUGAGUUAAAGUUUAAUUUUUGGUUUUUAUGUAAUUUAUUUAAUUGGGGUGAUUGGAAGAUAAAAUAAACUCUUCUUUAUAUUUAAUAAAUUAAUUAGUUGUAUGAUCCAUAUUUAAUGAUUAAAAGAUUAAAUUACCUUAGGGAUAACAGCAUAAUUCUUUUUAAGAGUUCAUAUCGAAAAAAGAGAUUGUGACCUCGAUGUUGGAUUAAGAUUAGUUAUGGGUGCAGAUGUUCAAUAACUAGGUCUGUUCGACCUUGAAAAUCUUACAUGAUCUGAGUUCAAACCG